CCUACGGGAGGCAGCAGUGGGGAAUAUUGCACAAUGGGGGCAACCCUGAUGCAGCGACGCCGCGUGAGUGAAGAAUUAUUUCGGUGUGUAAAGCUCUAUCAGCAAGGGAAUAAAGAGACGGUAGCUGACUAAGCAGCCCCGGCUAACUACGUGCCAGCAGCCGCGGUAAUACGUAGGGGGCAAGCAUUAUCCGGAUUUACUGGGUUUAAAGGGAGCGUAGACGGGUGUGCAAGUCUGAAGUGAAAGCCCAGGGCUCAACCCUGGGACUGCUUUGGAAACUGGGGAUCUAGAGUGCUGUAGAGGUAAGCGGAAUUCCUAGUGUAGCGGUGAAAUGCGUAGAUAUCAGGAGGAACACCAGUGGCGAAGGCGGCUUACUGGACAGUAACUGACGUUGAGGCUCGAAAGCGUGGGGAGCAAACAGGAUUAGAUACCCUGGUAGUC
RNAcentral lists this ribosomal RNA (441 nucleotides) under uncultured bacterium. RNAcentral describes it as "partial 16S ribosomal RNA". It matches the Rfam family "Bacterial small subunit ribosomal RNA", at positions 338 to 795 of the family's 1533-position model. The record is from RNAcentral.